This 1919-nucleotide long non-coding RNA is filed under the name Mytilus galloprovincialis (Mediterranean mussel). The record is from RNAcentral. Lineage: Eukaryota; Metazoa; Mollusca; Bivalvia; Mytilida; Mytilidae.
GGGUCAUCCAUAAUUGUCAACCAUUUUCCAAAGUGUACAAAACGUACACUUGGGGGAGGGGGUUAAAAAAUCAACAUUUUUACCGUACGCUUUUUUUUUUUAUUUCCAUGGAAUUUAUAUUCGUUUCCGUAGGGAAGGUCGAUGUAUAAAAAUCGAGAAUUGGCUUGGGUGUGUUUCUCUUCUUAUUUCUUCUUUAUUAUUUUCACUUGAUGAUAUUGAUUUCGAUAUCAUAAUUCUACUCAAUCGGGAUUGAACGAUUAAAAGAUCAAAUCAUAUGAAAACUAAAUCUUUCAAAAAUGUGAACUAGUAAAAUUAUUUAAACAAAAAGUUUGCAAGCAUUUCUCAGUACCCCCGAUUGUCAAUUUCACCUGCUUUAUUAUUGAUCGAUAUCGUUUUACUCUGUUUAAUAAACAAAACUUGAUGGAAACACUAACAUGCUAAAUUCUUUGAAUGUUUUGAUUUUGACAAGACGCCAUUUUGUGAAAAGAUUUUAAACUGGUCCUUCGAUUAAUUUCCUUGUAAUGCAUUCCAAAUAGUAAACCAGUAAACCGGAAGUAAACUUAUUUUUCUUAGUAUAAGCCUCCUUUAAUUAGGAGCACCUCCAUAUGAAGUUUAACCUUAACUUAAAAAAUAUCCAAUAUAUGUACACGUUACAGUAUAUAUACAUAAACGAUAAUAGUGCCAUGAAUGGCAUAUUUACAGGGACCUUUUAAAUAGAAAUACAGGCGGGAAAUUUAAAAACUCAAAAUGUUUUAAAACAUUACACUUUUAUUGAUUGCUGUCUUGAGCUCUGAUUCCAUCAACAACUGUCAGUCCAUACUUUACCAAUGCAAUAUAACCAUGCAUUUCCCUUUCUUUGAUUCUUAGCAUAGUUUAUGUGCCCUUUUGUUAAUCUUUUGCAUGCUCUAGGUGCCCUUUUUUCUUAUUGGAGUUACCAUUCCCACUGUGUGAUAGGGGAAACACUAAUCUUUGUACUCUUUAUUCUGACAAAACACAAGCAUCACAGAUAGAUGUCAUCAAAUAAAACAGUCAGAUAUGUUUUAGUUUUUUUUUCAAUGCAAAUUUCUAUAUUAAACUAAAAUAUAAUAGACAGGAUCUUCUUUUUAUUAAGAAUGACUGAUUCUUCUCUUGAAAUCUGAAAAUGGUUGAUGUACACUUUUUGAGGGAGGGUGGGGGGUCUGAAAAAGUGUACGUUUUGUACACUUUGGAAAAUGGUUGACAAUUAUGGAUGACCCCUAAAUGGGGCAUGAAAAUUUAUUGUUGAAAGUAAAAACUUUAACCUGAAGCCGGACAGAAGGACGGACUUACAAACGAACGGAGGAAUUGGGCAUACAAAUUUAUUGUUGAAAGUGAAAGUAGUGAUUUGAUCAAAAUGAAAGUAGGGUAGAGAUUAGCGGGAGGCAAGACUUAUUAGGAACGUCGGGAUCUGGUGCUUUUAAGCUCGGGAUUUCGGAACUGAUUUUUACGGGAUGCGGGAAUAUUUUUUUUUUAUUUCGGGAUGUCGGGAUAUGAAUUUCGUUAAAAUACGCAUCUCGGGAUUUCAUGUUUUUAAGCCCGGGAUUUCAGAAUCAGGGCCCCUCAGACCACCCCUCAAAUGAGCGUUAGUCAUUUAUACGAGAUUCAAAUCCUACCAUUGGCAUGUUAAUAGGGCUUUCAAAUGGAAAAGCACUGAUGGAUUGUUCUACAAGCACAUUUUAUUAUCUAAUAAUAAUGGUAUGUAAGCAGUUUCAUUUGUUUCAUGAUUGAAGCGGUGCAAAUUUUUAAUUUAAUUUGACUUUUAUCAAAAAAUGCAUUGUACCAAAGAGGAAGAAUAAUUGUGGCAUAAGGCCAAAAACACAAAAAAAUAAUCGAAUUUAACAGAAAGGAAACACAUAACGGAGGGCUUUUUGAUACCUUUUAUGAAAUUCUCCAGUCAAAAU